GAUGAACGCUGGCGGCGUGCCUAAUACAUGCAAGUCGAGCGAACAGACGAGGAGCUUGCUCCUCUGACGUUAGCGGCGGACGGGUGAGUAACACGUGGAUAGCCUACCUAUAAGACUGGGAUAACCUCGGGAAACCGGAGCUAAUACCGGAUAAUAUAUUGAACCGCAUGGUUCAAUAGUGAAAGACGGUUUUGCUGUCACUUAUAGAUGGAUCCGCGCCGCAUUAGCUAGUUGGUAAGGUAACGGCUUACCAAGGCAACGAUGCGCAGCCGACCUGAGAGGGUGAUCGGCCACACUGGAACUGAGACACGGUCCAGACUCCUACGGGAGGCAGCAGUAGGGAAUCUUCCGCAAUGGGCGAAAGCCUGACGGAGCAACGCCGCGUGAGUGAUGAAGGUCUUCGGAUCGUAAAACUCUGUUAUUAGGGAAGAACAAAUGUGUAAGUAACUAUGCACGUCUUGACGGUACCUAAUCAGAAAGCCACGGCUAACUACGUG
This 497-nucleotide ribosomal RNA is filed under the name uncultured bacterium. RNAcentral describes it as "partial 16S ribosomal RNA". It matches the Rfam family "Bacterial small subunit ribosomal RNA", at positions 28 to 507 of the family's 1533-position model. The record is from RNAcentral.